CUAGGGCAUACACCAAUGUACCAAACCCUAUCAAACUCCGAAUACCUUAUAUGUAAUCACAGCAGUCAGGCGGCGAGUGAUAAAAUCCGUCGUCAAGAGGGAAACAACCCAGACUACCAGCUAAGGUCCCUAAAUCUUACUUAAGUGGAAAACGAUGUGAAGUUACUUAAACAACCAGGAGGUUGGCUUAGAAGCAGCCAUCCUUUAAAGAAAGCGUAAUAGCUCACUGGUCUAGUGAUUUUGCGCGGAAAAUAUAACGGGGCUAAAGUAAGUACCGAAGCUGUAGACUUGCGCACAACUUAGAUUAUUUAAGUUUAGAAUAUGAGAAACUAAGUUAUAUUUUUACUGAUUUUUAUAGAGUAAAGAUAGAAAUAAAACUUAGUAAAAUCAGUAAAAAUAUUCUUAGGCUAAAGUUAAGUAGUUUAAGUUGUGUGCAAGUGGUAGGAGAGCGUUCUAUUUGCGUCGAAGGUAUACCGGUAAGGAGUGCUGGAGCGAAUAGAAGUGAGCAUGCAGGCAUGAGUAGCGAUAAUUAAUGUGAGAAUCAUUAACGCCGUAAACCCAAGGUUUCCUACGCGAUGCUCGUCAUCGUAGGGUUAGUCGGGUCCUAAGUCGAGUCCGAAAGGGGUAGACGAUGGCAAAUUGGUUAAUAUUCCAAUACCAACAUUAGUGUGCGAUGGAAGGACGCUUAGGGCUAAGGGGGCUAGCGGAUGGAAGUGCUAGUCUAAGGUCGUAGGAGGUUAUACAGGCAAAUCCGUAUAACAAUACUCCGAGAACUGAAAGGCUUUUUGAAGUCUUCGGAUGGAUAGAAGAACCCCUGAUGCCGUCGAGCCAAGAAAAGUUUCUAAGUUUAGCUAAUGUUGCCCGUACCGUAAACCGACACAGGUGGGUGGGAUGAGUAUUCUAAGGCGCGUGGAAGAACUCUCUUUAAGGAACUCUGCAAAAUAGCACCGUAUCUUCGGUAUAAGGUGUGGUUAGCUUCGUACUAGGAUUUACUCCGAAAGCGAAGAAACUUACAACAAAGAGUCCCUCCCGACUGUUUACCAAAAACACAGCACUCUGCUAACUCGUAAGAGGAUGUAUAGGGUGUGACGCCUGCCCGGUGCUCGAAGGUUAAUUGAUGGGGUUAGCAUUAGCGAAGCUCUUGAUCGAAGCCCGAGUAAACGGCGGCCGUAACUAUAACGGUCCUAAGGUAGCGAAAUUCCUUGUCGGUUAAAUACCGACCUGCAUGAAUGGCGUAACGAGAUGGGAGCUGUCUCAAAGAGGGAUCCAGUGAAAUUGUAGUGGAGGUGAAAAUUCCUCCUACCCGCGGCAAGACGGAAAGACCCCGUGGACCUUUACUACAGCUUGACACUGCUAUUUGGAUAAGAAUGUGCAGGAUAGGUGGGAGGCUUUGAGUAUAUGACGCCAGUUGUAUAGGAGCCAUUGUUGAGAUACCACUCUUUCUUAUUUGGGUAGCUAACCAGCUUGAGUUAUCCUCAAGUGGGACAAUGUCUGGUGGGUAGUUUGACUGGGGCGGUCGCCUCCCAAAUAAUAACGGAGGCUUACAAAGGUUGGCUCAGAACGGUUGGAAAUCGUUCAUAGAGUAUAAAGGUAUAAGCCAGCUUAACUGCAAGACAUACAAGUCAAGCAGAGACGAAAGUCGGUCUUAGUGAUCCGGUGGUUCUGUGUGGAAGGGCCAUCGCUCAAAGGAUAAAAGGUACCCCGGGGAUAACAGGCUGAUCUCCCCCAAGAGCUCACAUCGACGGGGAGGUUUGGCACCUCGAUGUCGGCUCAUCGCAUCCUGGGGCUGGAGCAGGUCCCAAGGGUAUGGCUGUUCGCCAUUUAAAGCGGUACGCGAGCUGGGUUCAGAACGUCGUGAGACAGUUCGGUCCCUAUCUGCCGUGGGCGUAAGAAGAUUGAAGAGAUUUGACCCUAGUACGAGAGGACCGGGUUGAACAAACCACUGGUGUAGCUGUUGUUCUGCCAAGAGCAUCGCAGCGUAGCUAAGUUUGGAAAGGAUAAACGCUGAAAGCAUCUAAGCGUGAAGCCAACUCUAAGAUGAAUCUUCUCUAAGCUCUCUAGAAGACUACUAGUUUGAUAGGCUGGGUGUGUAAUGGAUGAAAGUCCUUUAGCUGACCAGUACUAAUAGAGCGUUUGGCUUAUCUUUAAUAAAGCAU
This 2156-nucleotide ribosomal RNA is filed under the name Campylobacter jejuni. Its description in RNAcentral is "partial 23S ribosomal RNA". It matches the Rfam family "Bacterial large subunit ribosomal RNA", at positions 919 to 2925 of the family's 2925-position model. The record is from RNAcentral. Lineage: Bacteria; Pseudomonadati; Campylobacterota; Epsilonproteobacteria; Campylobacterales; Campylobacteraceae.